CACUAGAUGGCUGAAAGUAAGUAAUGGUCUCUUAAACCAAUUUAUAGUAAAUUAACAUCUAC
RNAcentral lists this transfer RNA (62 nucleotides) under Nicrophorus sayi. RNAcentral's name for it is "tRNA-Lys". The record is from RNAcentral. Lineage: Eukaryota; Metazoa; Arthropoda; Insecta; Coleoptera; Silphidae.